UGCAGUGGGGCACAUGUCUUGCAAGCAUGAGGUCCUGGGUUCAAGCCCCAGCACAGCAU
RNAcentral lists this transfer RNA (59 nucleotides) under Erinaceus europaeus (western European hedgehog). It matches the Rfam family "tRNA", at positions 16 to 71 of the family's 71-position model. From Rfam's summary of the family: Transfer RNA (tRNA) molecules are approximately 80 nucleotides in length. Their secondary structure includes four short double-helical elements and three loops (D, anti-codon, and T loops). The record is from Rfam by way of RNAcentral. Lineage: Eukaryota; Metazoa; Chordata; Mammalia; Eulipotyphla; Erinaceidae.